GGCCGACUCCAAGAUGCCCGACAACCAGGCCGGCCAUGAGAAGGGCAUGACCGUGGCCCUUGCGGGCAAUGCCGGUGCAAACCUCGUCUACGAGUCG
This 97-nucleotide non-coding RNA is filed under the name marine eukaryotic metagenome. Its description in RNAcentral is "Pyrrolysine insertion sequence mttB". It matches the Rfam family "Pyrrolysine insertion sequence mttB". The record is from RNAcentral.